GGGCACAUGGUGUAGUUGGUCAUCACGCCCGCUUAGCAUAAACGGCUAGCUCUCGUCUGCGGGCGGUCCCCGGUUCAGUUCCGGGUGUGUCCA
Sphagnurus paluster is the source of this 93-nucleotide non-coding RNA. The record is from the annotation of a GenBank genome assembly. Lineage: Eukaryota; Fungi; Basidiomycota; Agaricomycetes; Agaricales; Lyophyllaceae.